UGGGGAAUCUUGCGCAAUGGGCGAAAGCCUGACGCAGCAACGCCGCGUGGGUGAUGAAGGUCUUCGGGAUUGUAAAACCCUGUCGUUAGGGACGAAGACAUAAAUCCUAAUACGAUUUAUGUUUGACGGUACCUAGAAAGGAAGCCCCGGCUAACUCUGUG
Molecule: ribosomal RNA, 161 nt
Filed under: uncultured Heliobacterium sp.
Lineage: Bacteria; Bacillati; Bacillota; Clostridia; Eubacteriales; Heliobacteriaceae
Description: partial 16S ribosomal RNA
Rfam family: Bacterial small subunit ribosomal RNA
Source: RNAcentral